GACCAAGGGUUCCUGUCCAACGUUAAUCGGGGCAGGGUGAGUCGACCCCUAAGGCGAGGCCGAAAGGCGUAGUCGAUGGGAAACAGGUUAAUAUUCCUGUACUUGGUGUUACUGCGAAGGGGGGACGGAGAAGGCUAUGUUGGCCGGGCGACGGUUGUCCCGGUUUAAGCGUGUAGGCUGGUUUUCCAGGCAAAUCCGGAAAAUCAAGGCUGAGGCGUGAUGACGAGGCACUACGGUGCUGAAGCAACAAAUGCCCUGCUUCCAGGAAAAGCCUCUAAGCAUCAGGUAACAUCAAAUCGUACCCCAAACCGACACAGGUGGUCAGGUAGAGAAUACCAAGGCGCUUGAGAGAACUCGGGUGAAGGAACUAGGCAAAAUGGUGCCGUAACUUCGGGAGAAGGCACGCUGAUAUGUAGGUGAAGCGACUUGCUCGUGGAGCUGAAAUCAGUCGAAGAUACCAGCUGGCUGCAACUGUUUAUUAAAAACACAGCACUGUGCAAACACGAAAGUGGACGUAUACGGUGUGACGCCUGCCCGGUGCCGGAAGGUUAAUUGAUGGGGUCAGCGCAAGCGAAGCUCUUGAUCGAAGCCCCGGUAAACGGCGGCCGUAACUAUAACGGUCCUAAGGUAGCGAAAUUCCUUGUCGGGUAAGUUCCGACCUGCACGAAUGGCGUAAUGAUGGCCAGGCUGUCUCCACCCGAGACUCAGUGAAAUUGAACUCGCUGUGAAGAUGCAGUGUACCCGCGGCAAGACGGAAAGACCCCGUGAACCUUUACUAUAGCUUGACACUGAACAUUGAGCCUUGAUGUGUAGGAUAGGUGGGAGGCUUUGAAGUGUGGACGCCAGUCUGCAUGGAGCCGGCCUUGAAAUACCACCCUUUAAUGUUUGAUGUUCUAACGUGGACCCGUAAUCCGGGUUGCGGACAGUGUCUGGUGGGUAGUUUGACUGGGGCGGUCUCCUCCUAAAGAGUAACGGAGGAGCACGAAGGUUGGCUAAUCCUGGUCGGACAUCAGGAGGUUAGUGCAAUGGCAUAAGCCAGCUUGACUGCGAGCGUGACGGCGCGAGCAGGUGCGAAAGCAGGUCAUAGUGAUCCGGUGGUUCUGAAUGGAAGGGCCAUCGCUCAACGGAUAAAAGGUACUCCGGGGAUAACAGGCUGAUACCGCCCAAGAGUUCAUAUCGACGGCGGUGUUUGGCACCUCGAUGUCGGCUCAUCACAUCCUGGGGCUGAAGUAGGUCCCAAGGGUAUGGCUGUUCGCCAUUUAAAGUGGUACGCGAGCUGGGUUUAGAACGUCGUGAGACAGUUCGGUCCCUAUCUGCCGUGGGCGCUGGAGAACUGAGGGGGGCUGCUCCUAGUACGAGAGGACCGGAGUGGACGCAUCACUGGUGUUCGGGUUGUCAUGCCAAUGGCACUGCCCGGUAGCUAAAUGCGGAAGAGAUAAGUGCUGAAAGCAUCUAAGCACGAAACUUGCCCCGAGAUGAGUUCUCCCUGACUCCUUGAGAGUCCUGAAGGAACGUUGAAGACGACGACGUUGAUAGGCCGGGUGUGUAAGCGCAGCGAUGCGUUGAGCUAACCGGUACUAAUGAACCGUGAGGCUUAACCUUACAACGCCGAAG
Molecule: ribosomal RNA, 1614 nt
Filed under: Escherichia coli
Lineage: Bacteria; Pseudomonadati; Pseudomonadota; Gammaproteobacteria; Enterobacterales; Enterobacteriaceae
Description: partial 23S ribosomal RNA
Rfam family: Bacterial large subunit ribosomal RNA
Source: RNAcentral